Molecule: non-coding RNA, 21 nt
Filed under: Arabidopsis thaliana (thale cress)
Lineage: Eukaryota; Viridiplantae; Streptophyta; Magnoliopsida; Brassicales; Brassicaceae
Source: RNAcentral
CUUACCCGCUGAAACUGGUAA